UUCUUUUUCACCUCCCAGCUUCACAUCGUACCCGAGUCCCCAAUUACCCUCUCAGUGUGCUGUAACCAAGGGCCCCUGUUAUAACUCACAUAACACAUUCUAUACUUCAGCACAAUCACUGGACAAGCACAGGUAACAGUAGCAUAUAGAGCACAACACAGUCACUGGACAAGCACAGGUAACAGCAGCAUAUGGAGCACAACACAAUCACUGGACAAGCAAAGGUAACGAUAGCA
Molecule: long non-coding RNA, 236 nt
Organism: Anguilla rostrata (American eel)
Lineage: Eukaryota; Metazoa; Chordata; Actinopteri; Anguilliformes; Anguillidae
Exons: 2
Source: RefSeq, a predicted model, not a curated record